UUUUAGUUCCACUCCCUCCUUGACUGUGAAUAGGAAUGUGAUUGAGAUUCCCACCAGUCUUCAAAGCCGACUCACCUUUAUAGCAAAUGCCAAGGGUUUGAAAACUCGUUGGGGAUGGAAGCUCGCAUGCAGGAACAGAGGAGGCUUUUUAAGGAAAGAAGCCAAGCCCCCGGGGCUGUCAGCAGGGUUGAGCCACAGUCUGCAUUCUGACUUGCCGCCUCUGAUGGGAAUGCUAUAAUGCCUUCCACAUGGUCAUCCCUUCCUCCUGCUCCACCGUGCAGUGCUGCUGGCUCCUUGGAUCUUCAAAGAUGAGCUACUGCUACCCAUUAGCAUCGUAGCAGCACUCCUCCUCAUCUUCUCAACCUUUCUCUCUCAUGAGUGAUCGCAGCCAGCUGGGAAGCCCCACACCUAGAGGUGAGGGAUACAUUGCACCAGGCAGUAACUCUGAGCCAGUUAGGGGUACAGCCAAGAAGUGUGUUCUCAUUGCAGUGGUGGCUGCCUCAGUAAUACACCUAAGUCCUCCAGGCCCCUCAUCUGUAGGUAAAGAAUGGACCCCUUGGCCUGUGAUCAUAAAAUGGCAAGCACAGGAACUUUUGUGUGCCUGGAAAGACACCGAUGUCAGCCCCAGAGGGACAGCGGCAUCCUCUGUGGACCAGAAUGUAGACAUGGUAUAACAGUGACCAAUGGGAUAGGAACCCAAGGUGAACUUGAAUUAUGUUGAAUGAACACAGUUAGUCUCCUUUUGGCAUCUGAGCUUCUUAAUAAAGAAAAAAUAGGAA
Molecule: long non-coding RNA, 779 nt
Organism: Mesocricetus auratus (golden hamster)
Lineage: Eukaryota; Metazoa; Chordata; Mammalia; Rodentia; Cricetidae
Exons: 2
Source: RefSeq, a predicted model, not a curated record